This is an RNA transcript of Carya illinoinensis, 4892 nucleotides long. RefSeq lists it as uncharacterized. The record is from RefSeq and is a predicted model, not a curated record. NCBI's taxonomy places the organism in Eukaryota, Viridiplantae, Streptophyta, Magnoliopsida, Fagales, Juglandaceae. The transcript is spliced from 6 exons.
UAUUAAGUAAAAGUAUGAAAAAUAAUAAAAUAAUAAUAUGAAAAAACAAAUGAAAUGGAAUGGAUAAAAAAUAUUAAAGAAAUAGUGAAAAGUAGAAAACACUGGAAGUUGAUGUGACUGCAUGAUGACUUUUUAGGUGUGACUGGUAGUAAUCUAAAGUGGCUGUUUAUUCAUAAAAAAACAAAACAAAAACUCAGGAGUGCAUUCGGAUGAUGCAGUGGUUCCGUCGGUCAACCUGUCAGAUAAUACAAUAUAAAAUAAUAGUGGGGCUCAUUAUUUUUUCAAGUUUUUCAUAAAUAUUUAAACUCAUCUUAAUAUCCAAACAUGCUUAACUCAUCUUAAGUGGACCCCACCAAACUCAUUCAACCAUCUCAACUCAACACUAUUAAAAAAUAACUCAACUCAACUCAGUUGACUAUCCAAACGCAGCCUUAGAAGGUCUGGUGGCUCUUCCUUCAGGUUCUAUUCUUUUCUCAUUUUUUUUAAAGAAAAAACUUUGGGCUUUGUUUUGUUCCAUUUUCAUAUUUUUCUUAGAAAGAAAUUUCAGAAGAUCUUGGUUUUGGUGGUACAUUAUCAUUUGAUAUUUAAGAUAUAGUUUUAUUGCUUGAUUAUGUAACAAUGACAAUAGAUUGUUAAAUAGUUUCUAUUGGUUUGAGGUUUCCAGCUCGACAAUUUACUACUAGCACCUUUUAAUAGAGAAUUGUUAAGAUACUUAUAAAAAUAUUAGGGAACAAUUAAGACUCUGCACCAUUUACUACUCCCACUACCAUUUACAAGUCACCAUUGUUAAGACUCUGCACCAUUCAAUAGAGAACAAGUCUCACUUCACCGCUUGGAACGGCUUGGCCUAAACUUUGACAUUUUGGUUACUUGUAUUAAAUAUCCCGAGUCAAUCUCUGAAAAUCCUUUUUGUUUUCCUGGUAUAAUGUUGGGGCUUGUGGAAGUUUGUGAAUAAAAAAAGUAAGUGUGGUUUUAGUAGCCAUGAUUUUGUACUCUCAUUUGGAUAUUAAUUUCACUUUGAAGCAUGAUCUAGCGACCAAUGGAGACUUGGUCCAGAAGGGUUGGUGCUGCCAAUGUACCCACCUUACUCUAAACUUAUGGGCCUUCAUGUAGCAGCGAGUAACAAGUUCAUGCAUUUUAACUAGCCAUCUUAGAUUAUAACUGUGAUAAUACAUCUUAAGGGCAGGUUUGGCCCCCAAGACAAGAUACGAAAUUCUCAAACAAAUUCAAAACUGAGAUGAGUUCUUUUUACCAAACUGCUUUUAAAUGUCGUAACUGGGACGAGAUAUCCGGAUGUAAAAUGUUUGAACACUGUUUAUUGAAAUGACCGGCUAUUGAGUGGAAUCAGUAAUGCCUAUCAGCCUUUCUCUUUCCCCAUGUUUGCACAACGAAAUUUCCCACAGCUUUCUUCAAACAGCAGACGCCCCAAACCCCCACCCGAAAUCUGAGAUCCCGUAUCAACCAAUCUCAUCUCUCGUCUUCAUCAGCCUCACAGGGGGAUGUCUUCUCUGCAGAAUGUAUAGAGGCAGCGCAGCUGAACCAACCGAAUAAAAUAUCGCCGGCCUCUUCGGAACGGAAGCUACGAAUACAACGGUAAUGUGCGAAACGGGGAUGCGUCCGGUGCCAACCUUCUGUUUGGCCGAAAAACAACAACAGAAACAGAGAAUCUCACGCCCGUUUCCCCCUGUACCCGAGAUUGAUGUUUGAGUCGGUGUGAAUCUCUGUAUCUGAUAUAGAGGACAUUGGCAGGCGAAUCUCUGCCCCCAACCUAUCUACACUCCCUGCCCUGCUUCCUAACCUCAGAAUACCGAUUGUCCCUUCAGUCAAUCUCUGCUUUCCUUUCAUUGCAAUAGUCGACGAAUAUCUCCACUGAGCUUGGGAGUGGACGGUUGGUUUCAAAAUGGUCUAUAAAGGGAAACUGCGCAACCCGUUCAAAACCCACCCUUUAAAACACCAUAAGCCUCACAGCGAAUGUAAAAUUUCUCCAAAGCUACGGCGUUGCCGUCGUACAGCAACCACCACGGCUCCCAGGACGCGGUCAUACCUGCGUUACUUCUUACGCUCAGGAAGCAGACCCACAUCUGUACAGAGAGCAUUUAUGGACAAUGAUACGAUGGAUUCCACCCGCGAUCGAGAGAUAUGGAAUGAAGGGUUCGAGGACCGACUAGUAUACAUGUUGUAUGAGGACACCGUCAUGGAUAGAUUGAGAGGAGGGAGGAUCACAAAUGCUGAUAAUGUAAGGCUUGCGAGCCAACUAUCUGCAAUUAUGUCCCACAAGAAAUUCAAUUCUGAGCAAGUUAAGGGAAAGAUAGCACGUCUAAAACGCAAACAACGAGAAUUUACCGAUCUUAUGAAACAAACCAGUUUGGGCUGAGAUUAAGAGAGGAAGGCCCCAAUUGCUAGUGAGGAACAUUGGGCGAGGGCCCUUCGAGUGAGAUCAUCAUGGAAGAAUUUCAAGACUUGGGGAUGCCCAAGGUAUGAAGAGCUAUGUGCAAUCUUCGGUUGUGCAGUUGCAACUGGGACAAUGCAUUGUGCUUCAACUGAUCCUCCCCCAGACUCUGACGAUGAGCGGUUGCUUGAUGAGGAGAUGCGAAAUCGAGGCCAGCCAGUAAUCGAUGAUGGCGGAGGUCCAUCGUCGGUUACUCCAAGACAGUCAGCAACACCAUUUUCCACCUCAUAUGCUAGUGGAUCUCGUAGACGCCAAAGGGGAGGUCCCACGAUGGACGAGGGCCUUCAGAAACAAAUGACUGAUACACUUGAGGAGAUUCGCCGUAGUGCGGAAGUUAGGCGGGAGGCUGUGACGGAGGUGAUGGAGUCUAGUAGAUCUAGGAAGCGCAGUAAAGGAGAGCAUAGCAUGGAGUUUGAUGGAGCGUUUGAUCUCCAAAUGCAUUGCAUGAAGUUGUUGGAAGAGGUACAACCUCCCCUGUCUACUGAGCAAUUUAACAAGGCCUUCGACCGAUUGUUGCUGACAAAAGUUCAAAGGUCGUUUGUGUCUAUCUCGGAGGAUCGUAGAAGUAAGUGGGCUUGGAGUUUGAAGUGAUCGACCAAGCAUUGAAAGAAUUUCUCUGACACCUCUAUGUUUUCGAAGUUAUGACGUUCAGUUGAGGCGGAUAGCCAAUUUUCCUCAGACACCUCUUAUUAUUUUAGUUUUCAUGAUAUGCAUUAUUGUAUGAGACAUGUUGUAACAGCAAUUUGGAUUUUCCUUCUAACAUAGAUGGUUCUCUAUUUUGACUAUUUAAAUUUUCACGGCAAUUUAACUUAUAAUUCAAUCGAUUGUUUAUUUUGAUAAACAUCACAUGCGAAUUGUGCUAUUAUUUUAUAACAUUUUUUUUAACUUCAAACAUGUUCUUAUAUUCAAAAUGGACGAUGAUAAUAGUUCGGACGAAGCAUUAUCAAUAGAGACGACCAGCGAGCUUGGCACAUCAAUCUCUUCAGGUAGGUCACAUAAUAGUGACCUAGAUGAUAUGAUGGUGACAUUAAAUGGUUCUGGCGAUGAAGCGGAGAUUCAGGAUUGUCAGCUAAUUUAUAUGAUGUGGUUGGCAGCUCGAUUUCCAAGAGGUUGGCCAGCAAUUUCUCAACAUAAUAUUGGUUUACGAGGAGAACAAUAUAUUCAUGGAAUACUGAAUGACAAUCCUCGUAAUUGUCGUGACAUGUUUCGAAUGUAAGUUCCUGCUUUUCGUCAUGUAUGCAACCUGUUACAACACGCGUUAAUUAUGAAUCCUACAAAGCGGACUUCAGUGCAGGAAUCGGUAGGCAUCUUUUGCCUUGUUGUUGGGCAUGCACAAGGUCAACGAAUCGUUGGGGAUCGAUUCCAGCAUUCAAGUGAAACUAUCAAUCGACAUGUAAAGACAGUUAUACGAGCCCUACAUCAACUAGGGAGAACUGUGAUUAGACCAACACACACGGAAGGCGUCCAUCCUUACAUUGCUGGAAACCUCCACUGCUAUCCAUGGUUUCAGAAAUGUCUUGGUGCGAUGGACGGAACAAUGAUUGCAGCUAUCUCGUCUCAGCAACGCAUAUAGAAAUCGAUAUAAUCGAAUUGUAGAAAAUGUUUUGUGCUUAUGUGACUUUGAUAUGAAGUUCAUGUAUGUAUAUACGAGAUGGGAGGGAACAGCCCAUGAUGCACGAGUUUUCUUGGAUGCUUUGAGCCGCGGUAGGAAUCGCUUUCCAUGGCCCCCGCAAGGAUAUUAUUAUCAUGUGGACUCCACGUUUCCAUGCAUUGAGAAGUUUAUGCCGCCCUAUCCACGAGAGAGGUAUCAUCGGUCUGACCGUGUUAGUGGACGUAAUUUUCGAGGUUAUAGAGAUUAUUUCAAUUUUCGUCAUUCAUCGCUGCGGAACAUUAUUAAACGCACUUUUGCAUUAUUGAAGAAUCGAUUUCAAAUAUUGAGCGCGAUGUCUCGUUAUCGCCCAACCAGGCAAGGGAUGCUCAUUACCUCAUGUUGUACCCUACACAAUCUGAUUAAAACGGUGACGCUAUACGAUGAGUUCAUUCAGCAUGCAUUGACAAUGCAAUUAAAUGGAGAUGGUUCUAAUGGAGAAGAAGAUGCGGGCGAGACGUCUGAAGUGGUUGACAUGUCCCAUGAAUCAGCCGGAGCUAUGACUGCACAGAGGGAUGAGAUUGCCAUUCCGAUGUGGGCACAUAGGAAUGGGCAAUGAGUACGUACAAAGAGAUAAGUACUUAUUCUCUUUUGUAUGCUUGUGCUAUUAUGUUGUAAACCUUCGAGGAACACGGAUCCUCGAAGGUAGCCAUGGGAUGACAACUAUUUGGAACAAUUUGUGCUCAUUUUUUGUAUGCUUGUGCUAUUAUGUUGUAAACCUUCUAGGAACACUGUUCCUCAGAGGUAGUUAUGGGAUGACAACUAUUUGGAACAAUUUGCGCUCAUCUUUUAUAU